This is a long non-coding RNA of Sinocyclocheilus rhinocerous, 217 nucleotides long. RefSeq lists it as uncharacterized. The record is from RefSeq and is a predicted model, not a curated record. Lineage: Eukaryota; Metazoa; Chordata; Actinopteri; Cypriniformes; Cyprinidae. The transcript is spliced from 3 exons.
ACAGUAAAUGGAUCUCUUCAUUUGGCUGCAGGGUUGUUACCAGCAGAACCAGCAAAGCCAGGUGUGUGUCCUAGAAAAAAUCUUGAAGCAGCAGUGUCAGGAGUGUGUGUAGGGUUGUGUUCCCAUGACCAUGACUGCCCAAACAAUCAGAAAUGCUGCCGCAGUGGCUGUGGACGUCAGUGUAUGGCUCCAUAUAAAGAAAAGCCAGGAUCGUGUC